GAUGAACGCUGGCGGCGUGCCUAAUACAUGCAAGUCGAGCGAACGGACGAGAAGCUUGCUUCUCUGAUGUUAGCGGCGGACGGGUGAGUAACACGUGGAUAACCUACCUAUAAGACUGGGAUAACUUCGGGAAACCGGAGCUAAUACCGGAUAAUAUUUUGAACCGCAUGGUUCAAAAGUGAAAGACGGUCUUGCUGUCACUUAUAGAUGGAUCCGCGCUGCAUUAGCUAGUUGGUAAGGUAACGGCUUACCAAGGCAACGAUGCAUAGCCGACCUGAGAGGGUGAUCGGCCACACUGGAACUGAGACACGGUCCAGACUCCUACGGGAGGCAGCAGUAGGGAAUCUUCCGCAAUGGGCGAAAGCCUGACGGAGCAACGCCGCGUGAGUGAUGAAGGUCUUCGGAUCGUAAAACUCUGUUAUUAGGGAAGAACAUAUGUGUAAGUAACCGUGCACAUCUUGACGGUACCUAAUCAGAAAGCCACGGCUAACUACGUG
RNAcentral lists this ribosomal RNA (497 nucleotides) under uncultured bacterium. RNAcentral describes it as "partial 16S ribosomal RNA". It matches the Rfam family "Bacterial small subunit ribosomal RNA", at positions 28 to 507 of the family's 1533-position model. The record is from RNAcentral.